AGAACGAACGCUGGCGGCAGGCCUAACACAUGCAAGUCGAACGCCCCGCAAGGGGAGUGGCAGACGGGUGAGUAACGCGUGGGAACAUACCUCUCGGUUCGGAAUAGCUCAGGGAAACUUGAAUUAAUACCGGAUACGUCCGUAAGGAGAAAGAUUUAUCGCCGAGAGAUUGGCCCGCGUCCGAUUAGCUAGUUGGUGGGGUAAAAGCUUACCAAGGCGACGAUCGGUAGCUGGUCUGAGAGGAUGAUCAGCCACAUUGGGACUGAGACACGGCCCAAACUCCUACGGGAGGCAGCAGUGGGGAAUAUUGCGCAAUGGGCGAAAGCCUGACGCAGCGACGCCGCGUGGGGGAUGAAGGCCUUCGGGUUGUAAACCCCUUUCAGUUGGGACGAAGGUUCACUCGUUAACAGCGGGUUGGACUGACGGUACCUUCAGAAGAAGCCCCGGCUAACUACGUGCCAGCAGCCGC
This 469-nucleotide ribosomal RNA is filed under the name uncultured bacterium. RNAcentral's name for it is "SSU rRNA". It matches the Rfam family "Bacterial small subunit ribosomal RNA", at positions 26 to 518 of the family's 1533-position model. The record is from RNAcentral.